RNAcentral lists this ribosomal RNA (253 nucleotides) under uncultured bacterium. RNAcentral's name for it is "partial 16S ribosomal RNA". It matches the Rfam family "Bacterial small subunit ribosomal RNA", at positions 524 to 776 of the family's 1533-position model. The record is from RNAcentral.
UACAGAGGAUGCAAGCGUUAUCCGGAAUGAUUGGGCGUAAAGCGUCUGUAGGUGGCUUUUUAAGUCCGCCGUCAAAUCCCAGGGCUCAACUCUGGACAGGCGGUGGAAACUACCAAGCUGGAGUACGGUAGGGGCAGAGGGAAUUUCCGGUGGAGUGGUGAAAUGCGUAGAUAUCCGGAGGAACACCAGUGGCGAAGGCGGCCUUCUGGGAUGAUCCUGACGCUCAGACACGAAAGCUAGGGGAGCGAACGGG